Cebus imitator (Panamanian white-faced capuchin) is the source of this 1078-nucleotide long non-coding RNA. RefSeq lists it as uncharacterized. The record is from RefSeq and is a predicted model, not a curated record. The transcript has 3 exons. NCBI's taxonomy places the organism in Eukaryota, Metazoa, Chordata, Mammalia, Primates, Cebidae.
CACUGUUGCCGCCGCCGCGACCUGCGGUUCGUCUCCGCACAUUCCACACGCGGCCCAAACGGUCACUCUCUCUUCUCAGACACCUCUUUUCAGUCUUUAUUUAUCCUGAGCAGCUUAGAAAGAUUGGACAAGAAAGCUUACGUGGAAAGGAAAUCAACUUUCCUGGAGAUUUAGAGGACUAAAAGAAUAAAUAGGGCGUCCAUGCUGUGCCGAAAGUGCGACUAAGGUUAGGCAUCUGGAUUUCCGCCGUAGCCCUCUUCCACCCCCUCGGCCUUUCCGAAGCGGAUGAAAACAAACACUAACGAUGGCGGCGCCGGGAAGCUACCGGCUGCUGGGCUAAAGGCAGGAGUGACCGCUUAACCAGUGAGGGAAGCCCUGAAGGGCGCCAGUCGACGCGAGUGCGACAACUCGCGGAGUCCUAGGAGCAAAACGUCCGGGGCCUGCGAGUCAGGACCCUUCUGAAGCCUUCGGUGUCUAUCUGCGAUCUGUGCCGUCACUGCAGCUGCGGAGCGCGAAACCCUCAGCCAGGUGGCGCGGCUGGCCGGCCCCAGGCCCCGGCCUCCGUAAUGAGAUCCCGGAGCUACUCUCUGUGCCGCAGCUUCGCAGGUGAGGGUGACUGUUGACUAGUGAAAAAAGGGACCCAAGGUUCACGACUGUCUUCUUACUGGCAGUGGAACGACCAGUGGAAACCAGCGAUCCAUUCUCAUUAAAGAGGGCAUCUUGGACUCGAGUGAUUCUUCUGCCUCCACCUCCCGAGUAGCUGCAACUACAGGUAUGUGCCUUCAGGCCCCACUUCUUUUUAAGCCAUAUAAAAUUAUAGUAAAGGAAUAAAAUGGAUAUAAACAUGUAAGAACAGAAUGGGAAAAGUAGAAAAAGAGAGCGAGCUUGUCUACAUUUUUGGGAGAAGGAAAUGUAGAGGAAGAGUUUUAACUGGUUUAACAAUGCAGAAGAAGCAACAGCCUAGAAGUGAAAUGAAAUUGGAGCAGAAAGUGAACUGAUUCGAACCAAGAACCCAGUAAUGGUUCCAAACUGGAGGCUCUAGGUAGCUUAGGUUCAGGGAAGGCUCCAGAUUCAGAAA